This 29-nucleotide non-coding RNA is filed under the name Mus musculus (house mouse). Lineage: Eukaryota; Metazoa; Chordata; Mammalia; Rodentia; Muridae. The record is from RNAcentral.
AAGCUAUUAGGACAGACUUCUAUCUGCUU